Molecule: long non-coding RNA, 714 nt
Organism: Benincasa hispida (wax gourd)
Lineage: Eukaryota; Viridiplantae; Streptophyta; Magnoliopsida; Cucurbitales; Cucurbitaceae
Source: RefSeq, a predicted model, not a curated record
UUGAUUUUUAAACAUUUCAAAUCAUUGAAAAUUGAUUUGUGAUGUAUCACUUGAUGAUUUUUUGGGGUGAUUAUGAGGGAAUUAGAUCCAAAAAUUCGAAGUACAAAAUUUAUCCCUCAUAUUUAAGAAUAGAAUUCAGUCCUAAUUCAUUUCGUCCUUUUCUUUCAACCAGCACCAGAUUUUCUCUCAACUGCCCUCUCUCGUGCUCUUCAAUUUCUUCCAUUAACAGACACCAAACAUUCUCUUCACCUUAGGUAAAUAUUAUCUUCUUCAUGCUGGAUAUCCACAGAUGAAAGGAUAUGUAGGCCCUUAUAAAGGGGAAAGAUUUCAUCUUCCUAAUUUUCGUCAUGGGAGUCAACCAAGAGAUGGCGAAUGUUACACCAUAUGCAUAGUUUUCCUUUUGAUGAACGAGUGAAGAUUGUUGUUGCAUCAAUGGCACUUCAUAAUUUUAUAAGAACUCGUUCUACAACUGACUUUGAGUUCAAGUUUUUUGGUGAUGGUAAAGAUUUGUUCCCCUCAAGUGAUGACCGAAACGAGUUGAGUAUUGUUGAAGAAAAUGAAAUUUCUUGUCAUGGAAGGGAGGUGGAAGAGGAGUGGGAGAAAAUUGCAAUACUUCUUAUAUCUUGUUAAUGUUUUUAUUAUACAGUUUGUAUAAUAGAUAAUAUCUAGUUUAAAUAUUUUAUAAAGAUAUAAAUACUUCUAGAUUGGAUGAGA